CUUGGUCGAGGAGUCACUGUUCUUUCUGAACCUGGGGCAGAGUGGCAGGGGCAGUGAUUGAAAUGUCACUAUCAACCCCAGCAAAGGGUGGAUGCUGGACUGGAGUUAGGGAGUGGAAAACGGCACAGUGCCCUUCAGGAGUCUGUAAGGGCAGUGGGGAGCUUAUGCUUCAAGUGAUGAAGAGGAGAAGACAAGGAACCAAACUGGUCAGAUGUUGGAUGAGACAUGAGAACCUGGGAGAGUCUGCGGAGCUGGGAACAGAGCAACCAUGGUGGAAUAGAGGCAAAGGAAAUGAACAAGGUCUUCAAUUCCCUGUGUCGCUCCUUGCUGUGUCCCCUGGACCCUAAGAGUAACGGCUCUCUGCUCCUGAAUGUGAGAGGCCCCAUCAGCCGCCUCAAGAUUCCAGGCAACUGCAGCAGCUGUCACAAAGCGUCGUGUGGCAUUGAGGAAUGUGGUCAGAAAGCCGCUAAAUGAAAAAAGGGUCUCAGGAAGGCAAGAAGGAGGGAACGGCCCUAAGUGCCAUGUGAGGAAUGGGGCUUUUUCAAAUCAACUCCUCUAAAGAACCACUUCCCUGAAUCUGUUGAAAGUGUAAAGUUUUCACCCUGCAAAUCAGAGAAGUUCAAGUUUAUACUCUAGGUAAAGAAGGUUUCCUUAAAGUAGGCCAGCAGCUGCAGCUCUCAGAAGAAAAAGAGGAAGACAAUACAUUUUCUUGCUUCGGUUCUGCGGUGGCAGGUGCACACCAAGGGGCAUGGCCUCCAGAAGGAACAGGGGCUUGGCUGGAGAACUGUCAAUUAAUCAUCCAGGAGAAUGCCCCUGACAGCAGGGAGAAAACUCCCAUUCAUUUCCUCAGGAUUGUGCUGCGGCCACUAAAUGCAAUGUUUCUACAAAUAAGAAUUCAUCUGCUCCUGGCUCCGGGGGUCAUUUGUUUGCUCCUGUGUGUUGUGGAACAAGACCUGCUCUGCAACCACACAGGCCUGUGCUGCGGCCUCGAACACAGUUAGUGCAUUCCCAUCUAGUUUUCCUCUUACUGUGCCCUAUUUUGAAUGUACCCCCCUCCUCUCAUCUCGGCCUCAUGUAAAUUCUAUGCGUCCUUUACAACCCCACCAAGUUCCACUUCCUCCUGCAGCCACAUCUUUUGAUUUCUUUCCCCUUUACCCUAUUUUGUAAGUCAAGUGAUCAUGUAUUAUAUGUAUAAUGAUAAAUAGUAAAAACCUGGCAUUAAAAAUGCCCCACUUUCCCAUUUACUAUCUGUACCACCUUGAGGAAGUAGUCACUUCACCUCUUUGAGCCUCUGGUUCCUUAUCUUUAAGGUGGGGAUUUCAUCUAAUUCAGAGUGAUUAUGAGUGUUGGAAGAGAUAACCUAUGAAAAUUCUCCCAGGCCUCUUUGGCCAUCAUAAUUGCAAAGUAAAUAGCAGUUGAUUCUGAAACUGCUGUCCUCAGGAUGGUUCAGACGCUAGAGUCUGGCAUUUUAAAAUCAUUUCUGUGAGGGUGGGCAGGGGGUGGGGGAUGGUUACACAAGCUCCCUGGGAUGCAAGCUCUGUAGGGCACAGCCCUUGUCAGAAUGGGCUUGAGUAGAAUGGGCUCCUCAUUAGCACCAACUGAAUAUUCCACCCCAUGGUUUUAAUUACUUUUUUUCUUCUAGAUUUACAUUUUGUCUCCCAACUGCAUUAUACUCUUCUUGGGGUCAGGAGGACGGCUUUUACAGAAUUUAUGUUCCACCCAAAGUCUCUGCCCUAUUAAGUGCUCAAUAAAUCUCCUGGCUCAUGGAAAACAUUGUUAUGGAUAGCACACUGUGAUGUGUACUUCCUUCCCUGGACUGCUUAUUGUUCACCAUUCACAACAUCUGAUUUAUAUGUAUGUUUGGCAAUUAAUUGCUAUGUGCCAUCUACCAUUUAAAACCCAAGCAGAGAGAAAUUGUGCUUAUAAGAAAAAAAAAAUAGAAAGAAAAGUCAUACUUUUCAUGUUUAUAAAAUACGAAUUCUGGAGUUGAUGUCUUUACCACACUAGAGUAAAUUGGUCCUUUAAUUGUUCAAGAUUUCCACAUCAAUAAAUAACUUUAUUUAUAAAAACUCUCCUCUUGUAUAAGGUGAUGUCAGGUACACUGAUGCAAUCAAGAAAUGCUCUCUCUGGACUCUCAAUGUGGUGCCCUUGGAAAAUCAGUUCAAUUUGGUAUUCUCACAUAGGACGGUAGAGACAAUGAAGACUGCUUAGUUGGAUCUUCAUGGUUGACUUUAGAUAUUUACCUCAAUUACUGGAAAUAAUCACUUAAAGACUUCUAAUUGAGCCUUUCUCUUGCCCUCUGACCUCUUCACAAGGUAUAUGAUAUGGAUUAGAAUUAACAUUAUUUAACGUUUUAAUGAUAAAUCUCAGUCUUCAGUGAAAGAUCCUAUAAAUCUGUUUUCUCAAUCCUGGCUACCCAUUAGAAUCACUUGGAAUUAAAAAACAAAACAAAACAAAACAAAAAACAAAACAAACAAACAAAAAAACAGUACUCUGGCUCUAUCCCAGACCAAAUGAAUCAGAAUCUCUGGCAAUGAUAUUUUCCUGAAACUCCCUGGGUGCUUCUCCUACGCAGCCGGGGCUGAGACUCACUGCUGAAUCAUGGAGAAAAUGUUACAGAACUAGCUGCCAAAGUCUUCCUUCAUUUCCUCAUUAUCAAUAAGCCUCUAUAGGAUAGACACUGUUUGAAUAUAGUAGUAGUUCAAUUGUAGACGCCAAUAUUUUAAUUAUUGGCUACUGGCUAAUCUGACUGAGUUCUACAAGUAAACAUGGCAAUUUAGCUUCUCCUGGGUCAGAAAAAGAGUUCGUUUAUUCUGCCUAUGUGCUCUGUUUGUGGCAUCAAAGACUGUUUUGGGAAGAACAUUUUAAUUACUCUCCUUGAAGGAUCCCUGAAAGAUCCUAAAUAUGUUUUAAAAAAUCUAAUUUUCCUUAAAGCAACUCCUUUCUACUCCUUCUUUCUUUUUCAUAAUUAUUUGGUAGUUCUUAAACAUUUUCUUUUCAUAAGUUUAAAAUUCUGUUGUUUAAUUUCAUAAAGAAUCUUAGAGUUUUAAUGUAAAUGUGUUGCACUUGUAGAUUAAAUUGGGGUAAGAAUUAAAAUACUUAUAUAAUUUAUAAACACAAUAAAA
Molecule: long non-coding RNA, 3125 nt
Filed under: Rhinopithecus bieti (black snub-nosed monkey)
Lineage: Eukaryota; Metazoa; Chordata; Mammalia; Primates; Cercopithecidae
Description: lncRNA (ENSRBIG00000045741.1)
Source: RNAcentral